RNAcentral lists this small RNA (3209 nucleotides) under Pan troglodytes (chimpanzee). RNAcentral's name for it is "processed transcript". The record is from RNAcentral. Lineage: Eukaryota; Metazoa; Chordata; Mammalia; Primates; Hominidae.
AAAGGGACUUGGACGCGAAAGCGCUGGUGGCGCUCAGCCGGCUGGGAGUUGUAGCUUUCUGGCUGCUACAGCAGGAGAUACAGGUGGCCAAUGGGUGAGCUGGCUGGAGGGUCAUGGAUGGGCUAAAAUGAGAUCACUCCUGGCCAACGCAUGGAAGGACACCUGGCGUGCAUCAGCUCUCAGCUGUUCUUACCGUCUGUCUCGAUCUCUCAGCAGUAUUCAGCACAAGUCUACAUGGCUGACCCCCAAAACAACCCUGGACACCAAGGCCCAAAUGAGGACACCGAGGCACACACAGCUUCAGUUGCUUGCCUGGAGUCACCCAUGUGAUUUGCAAUACCAGGUAAGCAGUGUCAUGUGACUUGCUUUGGCCAAUCAAGUGUGAGUGGGAGGGAGCUGCGGCAUCGCAUCCAAGGAGAAGCCUUCGCAGCCACCCCUGCCAGAUAUGGAUGGAGUCUCACUCUGUCGCCCAGGCUGGAGUGCAGUAGCACGAUCUUGGCUCACUGGAAGCUACGCCUCCUGAGUUCACACCAUUCUCCUGCCUCAGCCUCCCGAGUAGCUGGGACUACAGAGACAGGUGCUCGUUAUGUUGGCCAGGCUGGUCUUGAACUCCUGGGCUCAAGUGAUCCUCUCGCUUCGGCCUCCCAAAGUGCUAAGAUUACAGCUCCCAGAAGCUGGCAGCCUGGCCCUGGCAGCCUGGCCUUCACCCCCCGCCAGGAGGCCGGAGGAGUUUUCUCAGGGGGAUUUGACCAGCCCCAGAGGAAGAACGAAAGAUGGUGACAUCUGGCACUCCCCAACGUAUAAAGCAAGAUGCAAAACAGCAUGUACAGGCCGGGUGUGGUGGCCCCGACCUGUAAUCCCAGCACUUCAGGAGGCCAAGUUCUUCAGUGUACUGGACACAUUUCAAGUGCUCAGUAGCCACUUGUGGCUGGGGGUGCAGAAUCACAGAACGUUUCCAUCCUGGAAGAAAGUUCUACUGGGCAGCGCUACACUAGAAGGUAAGCUCUCUGCCGACAGAGACCACGUGGGUCUGGUUUGCUGCUGCAUCCCCAAUGCCUCGGUAAGUACUUAUUGAAUGAAUGAACGGAUGAAUGGAGGAAAGGAGUGAAGGGAUGAGAGGGCGGAUGAAGGAAUGAAUGACCCACGAGUCUUCAGCGCGGCUUUCCCCGGCCCCCUCCCCCGGCCUGCCUCUCCCGAGACCCCACCUUGGCCUCGGGGUCGGUGCGGAAGAGGCCCUCGAGCACGUGCAGGGCGUCCAGGACGCCGUGGUCGCGGCCCUUGCAGUAGGAGAGCAGGCGGCGCACGUCGGCUGGGGCCACGAACUGCUUGGAGAUCUUGUUGGUGGUGCGCACCGGCAGGCAGGCGUUGGCCAGCAGGUGGCCCGGGCGGAAGUAGUAGGCGAACUCCAGCGGGCAGGCCGGGUGUGAGUGGGUCAGCUGGCACUCCGUCACCACGAGGCGGUCCCGCAGCGGGCUCAGCUUGACGAUGAUGAAGGCGGGGCAGCCGGGCUGGGGAGGCCUGUGGGAGGAACCACCACCGCCCUGGUCACAUCACUCUGCUGCCCUCUUCUUCCUUUCCACUCACCAUUUUUUUUUUUUAAACUAAGAAUUGUUUCAGGCAUAGAGAAGAGUAGAGGGCCCUAAGAAUAUGCCAGCUGUGUGACCUGGGGCAAGUCACUUCAAGUCUCUAUGCCUCAGUUUCCUCAUAGGUUACAAGGAAGGUCCUACUCAUCAUACCUUCCUCAUAGGAUUGUCAUGAGCAUGAAAAGAGUUAAUAUAGGUAAAGCACCUACACAGUGUCUGGAAUAUGGCAAGCAGUAAGUGUUCACUAAAAUUCUAUACCUACCACCCUUAGUUCUGUCAAAAGUGAGGGAAUAUUUUAUUGUAUUUACCUUAACUAUUUUUAGAAAUAAAAAAUUUCAGAUAGUCCUGUAUCUGCUUCUGGUUUAGCAAUAACAUCAAAAGUUGAGGCCUUCUGUGAACGCUGCCCUAACAGAUUAUCUUCCUUCCCUCUGUCCCCAGAGGCAGCCACUAUCAAAAUUAUCUAUUAGCAUUCCAUGUAUAUUUUUAUGCACCCAUAAACAAUGGGAGGUAUGUUUCUCUGUUUUAAAAGCAUUGUAUACGUGAAAAAGGACUCAAACUCAUUAGUCAUCAAAGACGUAACAAAUUAAAACCCUAAGGAAAUGCCACUACACAUCAGCAGAAUGGUCAAACAAAAGAGACUGAUAACAUCAAGUGUUGAUGAGGACAUGGAGCAACUGGAACUCUCACCCAUCACUGAUGGGAACGUGAAAUGGCACAAGCACUUUGGAAAACUUCAUGGCAGUAUCUACUAAAGCAAAUUUUAUGUCUCUCCUGUGACCCAGUGGUGCCACUCAAGACAAAUGGGCAUCUAAAGAUGUGUACGAGAAUGUUCAUAGCAGCACUAUGUAUAUUCGCCAAAUGCUUGAAACCUAAAUAUCCAACAAUAGAGUGAGAAAAUAAGUUGUGGUGUAUUCCUAAAAUAAAACACUAAUCAGCACCAAGAAUGAACACACCGUUACAACCUCCAAUGACACGGAUGAAUCUCACAAACCUACCAAGUGAAAGAAGCCAGACAUGAAAGAGAAACUGUGAUAUAAUUCCCAUUUACAUAAAGUUCAACAGCAGGCAAAGUUAACCUCUGCCAUUAGGAGGCUAGAUAGUGGUUACCCUUAAGUGGUUAACCCUGUGAGGGGGCACCAGGAGGUUUCUUGGGACUGGACAUAUUCUGUUUCUUGUUCUGGGUGCUGGUUACCUCUGAUUUUUUUUUUUGGGGGAAAAUUCAUUCAGUUGCACACAUAUGAUGUGUGUACUUUUCUGGAUGUGUGUUACAUUUUUAAAAAGUCUACUUCAAAAAAACUUUGUUUUUGGCCGGGCGUGGUGGCUCACGCCUGUAAUCCCAGCACUUUGGGAGGCUGAGGGGGGACAGAUCACCUGAGAUCAGGAGUUUGAGACCAGCCUGGCCAACAUGGUGAAACCCUGUCUCUACUAAAAAAAAAAAAAAAAAAAAAAAAAAUUAGCCAGGCGUGGUGGCUAAUAAUAGGCUAAUGGGAUUACACCUGUAAUUCCAGCUACUUGGGAGGCUGAGGAAGGAGAAUGGCUUUAACCCAGCAGGCAGAGAUUGCAGUGAGCCGAGAUUACACUACUGCACUCCAGCCUGUGUGACAGAGCGAGACCCUGUCUCAAAGC